Molecule: long non-coding RNA, 209 nt
Filed under: Elaeis guineensis (African oil palm)
Lineage: Eukaryota; Viridiplantae; Streptophyta; Magnoliopsida; Arecales; Arecaceae
Description: long non-coding RNA (EGUI_LNC037641)
Source: RNAcentral
CCAUCCCAUCAAGAAUUCUUCUGGUGACAAUUUAAGACUUCCUGCGCUGUAAAGGCUUUUAGCAAGGACAUGUUCUUGUCGCCAAUUAGCAAGGAUGAUAAUUAUCAAUGUUGCCAUAAGACUUCGGUGAAGCUAAUGUGGCUGAAGACAGGAGAAGUUCCAAUCAUCGGGAUGCCAACGGAGACUUGUUAGAGAAGUCUACACAUGCC